GACGAACGCUGGCGGCAUGCCUAACACAUGCAAGUCGAACGGAGAUUAUUUCGGUAAUCUUAGUGGCGAACGGGUGAGUAACGCGUGGGCAACCUGCCCUCUAGAUGGGGACAACAUCCCGAAAGGGGUGCUAAUACCGAAUGUGACAGCAAUCUCGCAUGAGGAUGCUGUGAAAGAUGGCCUCUAUUUAUAAGCUAUCGCUAGAGGAUGGGCCCGCGUCUGAUUAGCUAGUUGGUGGGGUAACGGCCUACCAAGGCGAUGAUCAGUAGCCGGUCUGAGAGGAUGAACGGCCACAUUGGGACUGAGACACGGCCCAGACUCCUACGGGAGGCAGCAGUGGGGAAUCUUCCGCAAUGGGCGAAAGCCUGACGGAGCAAUGCCGCGUGAGUGAUGAAGGAAUUCGUUCCGUAAAGCUCUUUUGUUUAUGACGAAUGUGCAGAUUGUGAACAAUGAUCUGUAAUGACGGUAGUAAACGAAUAAGCCACGGCUAACUACGUG
This 498-nucleotide ribosomal RNA is filed under the name uncultured bacterium. Its description in RNAcentral is "partial 16S ribosomal RNA". It matches the Rfam family "Bacterial small subunit ribosomal RNA", at positions 28 to 507 of the family's 1533-position model. The record is from RNAcentral.